Non-coding RNA from Phascolarctos cinereus (koala), 1466 nucleotides. The record is from RefSeq and is a predicted model, not a curated record. Lineage: Eukaryota; Metazoa; Chordata; Mammalia; Diprotodontia; Phascolarctidae.
GCUCACUUGGAGCUAUGGAGACAGUGAAAAGAGGUCUCUUCAUCUAUAUUCUGAAUGUAGGAGGCUGCGAAAGCAAGCAUUUGAAACAGGCACAAAGUUAUGUGAGAAGAUUGAGAAGGAUGAGAUCUCUACCCUGUCCCACAGGUUUUGCACAUUAGGGAAUAACGAAGGAUAAGGGACCCUGUGGAAAAAGGAGGACUUCGGAGUCAUGUGGGGGAAGACCUUCGGGUAAGGCCUACUUUGGAAGAACACCUGGCCUCUGACCUGGCGGACCUAGGUGACCUCUACGUUCUUCCAAUCAUCUCGGCAAGAAAGAUGGAGCUUGGAUGAUUUACUUAGAGCAUGUGCAAGAGAGAGAGGUAGAUAUUACGAUCUGGAGAGAGGUCUAUUGGAUACUUACAGAGGUAUAUAUGUAUUUCACGAAGUUUUGUAAAUAUUAUAUACCUUCUAAACAAAUUGAAGUUAGAAUCCCAUAGGAAACAUAUUUUGAAAGAAAAAUUUUUUCCAGUCCAAAACUUAAGAUGGAAGUGCAAUUGUUGUAGAGUCUUAGAAGUUAUUUAAAUGGGCUAAUUGACUUACUAAAGAUCAUCCAAAGGAUUACUUACUUAAAUUAAGUUUAAUAAGAGUUUGUGUGUACAUUUUAACAGCCUAGAGUUGGUUGGAUUAGCUUUGGAUAAAACAAAACAAUGAUAUCAUUUCUAAUUCUACACUGCAAGUAGAGGUACUUUUCUAAAAUUAAUAUAUAAUAUUUAUUUUUAAAAGUAACUGUUAGAGAAAACAGAACCCAUAAAUGAAGUUCUUCAUAGCUAAUAGACGUGAAAGUAUACAAAUUGUGCCAAUUUUUGAAAGCAGUUAACAAUAAAAAAGAGCUUGCCAAGCUUUUGCCAAACAGACAAUGAAGAUGGGACUAGCCCAGAAAAUACAGCCGAAAGAGAACAGACUGAGUCAGCAACAUAACAGGUCAAAACAAAAAUUAAACAACCCUGUAACUUUAGGUGUCCUAAUAUGCAUCUGUGUAUCACCGUAAGAAGUGAAGAAUGGUUAAUGGCUACUAGUCGGCUACCCCCUCUUGCCGAUAUUUUGCACUGUUAUUAUUCCUCAGAGCUUUUAAAAUGAUAAGUUACUUUGUCUUGAAUCCCACUGAUAAAAAAGGAAUUUGUAAACGAGGGCAGAAGUUUUCUUUGGUGAGUUUCCAGCAGUCCUGGAAGAGAAGAGGGAUUGGGCGGUGGGGGGGAGGAGGAAAGUCCUCAAGUUGAAUGAAAUCCCCAAGGAGAGAAUAAUACAGAAAGUCUGGACUGCAAUACGAUACUUGGUGAACUUUAAAGUCUGGUCCCUUAAAGUAAGCUCUGGUAACAAAUCUACUAUGAUCUCCAAAAAGUUAAAAUAAUAAUGAUGAUGAUGAUGAUGACGAUGAUGAUGAUAUACCCUAAAACCUUUUUAUACACUAAAAUAUAUCCUAUUAAUUU